GAUGAAGAACGCAGCAAAAUGCGAUACUUGGUGUGAAUUGCAGAAUCCCGUGAACCAUCGAGUUUUUGAACGCAAGUUGCGCCCGAAGCCUUUUGGCCGAGGGCACGUCUGCCUGGGCGUCACGCAUCGCGUCGCCCCCCACAAUUCUCCGUAAAGGGAACAUGUGUUUUGGGGGCGGAUAUUGGUCUCCCGUGCUCAUGGCGUGGUUGGCCGAAAUAGGAGUCCUUUCGAUGGACGCACGAACUAGUGGUGGUCGUAAAAACCCUCGUCUUUUGUUUCGUGCUGUUGCUCGCAAGGUAAACUCUUUAAAAACCCCAAUGUGUCGUCUCUUGACGACGCUUCGACCGCGACCCCAGGUCAGGCGGGACUACCCGCUGAACUUAAGCAUAUCAAUAAGCGGAGGA
RNAcentral lists this unclassified non-coding RNA (404 nucleotides) under soil metagenome. RNAcentral's name for it is "partial contains 5.8S ribosomal RNA, internal transcribed spacer 2, and large subunit ribosomal RNA". The stretch from base 1 to 122 matches the Rfam family "5.8S ribosomal RNA", at positions 35 to 154 of the family's 154-position model. The record is from RNAcentral.